UACGUAGGUGGCAAGCGUUGUCCGGAAUUAUUGGGCGUAAAGCGCGCGCAGGCGGUCCUUUAAGUCUGAUGUGAAAGCCCACGGCUCAACCGGGGAGGGUCAUUGGAAACUGGGAAACUUGAGUGCAGAAGAGGAAAGUGGAAUUCCAAGUGUAGCGGUGAAAUGCGUAGAGAUUUGGAGGAACACCAGUGGCGAAGGCGACUUUCUGGUCUGUAACUGACGCUGAGGCGCGAAAGCGUGGGGAGCAAACGGG
RNAcentral lists this ribosomal RNA (253 nucleotides) under uncultured bacterium. RNAcentral's name for it is "partial 16S ribosomal RNA". It matches the Rfam family "Bacterial small subunit ribosomal RNA", at positions 524 to 776 of the family's 1533-position model. The record is from RNAcentral.